Meriones unguiculatus (Mongolian gerbil) is the source of this 4587-nucleotide long non-coding RNA. RefSeq lists it as uncharacterized. The transcript is spliced from 3 exons. NCBI's taxonomy places the organism in Eukaryota, Metazoa, Chordata, Mammalia, Rodentia, Muridae. The record is from RefSeq and is a predicted model, not a curated record.
AAUCGCAUGCACAGAACCAGACAAAACUCCCUUCUUGUCGAAUUACAAAAAGCAGACACAGCAGCCCCGAAUUUCAGAGCUAAAAAGAUAAAUAGAAAUAGAUAUAAACACACCCCAGCAGCAAAAUUCAAUAGUGAGAUCAAAGCUAAACUUCCGCCUUCACAGAGUUCCCGUUAAGAUUUUUUUCCCCCUCUUUUGCACCAUAAUCUGAGCCUCAGAACCUUGGUUCCUAUUCAGCCACAAGAUCAAACAGCUCAUACACAUCUGCUGUGGUAGGGGUUUCCUUCUUUCUUUUUCUCUCUCUCUUUUUUUUAAAGGCAUUCAAUAAUUGGUGGGGUGAGGGGGAAGAAGAGGGGAUUGAACGUCAGCAUAAAGACAACAGCAAAACACACCACGACAAUCCUGCCGUGCAAGUGACGGCCGUGGGAGAGGAUUGCAUGGACACAUGAAUAUUUGUAGUUUCUCUGGCGAAGUCCACAAGCCCUGUUAUUUCAGGGGCACUUUUGGCCUCUGAGAUUCUCUUACUGAAGUCAACCCAAGCGAUCUAUACCAAAACCCAGGUUGCCAUGAAAAGGGGCUCUGAGUUCGGAAUGUUGACAUCCUCACAGUCCAGAGUGGAGAAAUCCAGCAGCUGAAGCCGGUCAGCUCUCCUCAUAAAAGGCUGGAGGGGGAGGCGGGCGCAUGCUCCCUCUCUGCCAGUUCCCAGGCAGCUGGGUCGCCUACACACGCCUUAAUCAAGUCAUCAUAUCUAGCCAGUGUCUCCUGGAUCCCGUCACUUCUGAAUGAGAAAAAAAUUUGCCGACAAAUUUCUAUCAGCAGGAAGUUGGUGCUCUCCUGCGAGGCUGGAUGAAAAGCGCCUGUGACGUCAGCAGCCUCCCGCCUUCCUGCCCCUGCUGGGGGCUUUGAGGCUUCGGUGUUCUCUGUUUAGGACCCCUAGCAGCCACCUGCCCCUCUGAGUGCCAUUCAGACCCCACCACUGCUAGGGCUGCGCGGGAUGAGCCCAAAACUUCCUAAUUAUGGACUUUGCUGACUUGUAAUGUAAAAAAAAAGCUAUUCACUGAAGCACGAAGGCUAUCCACACCGGCCAACCCUGGCUUCACCAUUGUCCCCACAGUAAGGACCGUUUGAUUGAGUGCCAGAACGGUUCGUUGUUACUUAUAAACGCCCUGGUUUGAAGGAAGGGCUGCCUGGCCUCUAUAUAUGCCCGACGGCUUUCACUUUGCAGCAAAAACUGUGAGACACAAACCAAAAGCCCUUCUCACCCUUCAUCAGAAAGAUUUUCUUUCCCCCCUCACAGAGAGUUUUGCUGGAGAAAAAGAGCUGAGAGGAUAAAGAUAUUGGUAGAGCUUAAUGCCAUAAAUCUGAUUAAUUUGCCUUGUGACACUCGUCACAAAAAAAGCUAAGGGUCAGAGUCUUGCCUGAGAACUGACCUUUCACCUGCAGCCAAGGCGGUCACAAUGGGGGCCCAGGGGCCUUUCACAGCUACCUGCUGCUUUGGACAAAGCAAUUGGACACAGUGUUCAACAUGAUGGAGAAUACCUCAGAGCCCAGUCCCUUGUUUUCUCUGUCUGUGGAACAGAAAGCGGCCAGGACAGCAUCUUCACUCUCCUGAUAGGACCAGGCAAGAGCCACUUCUAGGACACAAACACAGAAAGCACAAAUAAGAGCGCCUUCUCAGUGGUGCAUUCGCAAGCUUAUAUUGAAUAUCUUACAGAUUGUUCAAAGGUGAUCGAGUCUGGGUCCUUCACUAAGGAAGCACAGGGGUUCACGUUGCUCCCUAUACAGGAUGCACCCGGUGCCUAAUACACGACCGUCCUUCCUGUGUGCUCCCAGGGUGACUGAUAGACACUUUUGAUUACACAAAGGAGGCUAGGCAAGAAAGCGAUCUAGACUUCCUAGUCUGGGGAAAGCAGACUGGUUCUUGUGUGACUCUUGCGCUCACUUCCUGCUUCAUUUUUGUUUUGAGACAGGGUCUCACACCCAACGGCCUCGAACUCCUGAUCCUUCCGCCGCUGCCUUCUGAGACCUCGGUUUCGAGACGUGAGCCGCUGCGUGUGGCUUGCCUCUCUUAAGUUUCAUAACUGCACCAAAGGAGCAGUGAAGAGAUGGAUGGCUCCUCUACCGCCAUUCACAAUUAUUUAUUUAUUUAUUUACUUUUAGUCCCUCAGACUGAGCAGUCUUGUGAGGCAUGACUAGCUUCUCUGAGCCCCUCACCCCUAUUUCCCAGUUGUGGUGAUGCCCUCUGGGGACAUCUCAGACACUUCCAGAGAUUUCUGUGCCCCUGCACGCUGCCACCCGGCGCUGCCAGCCAAGCCUGCAGCUUUCUGGUUUUGCAUUUCAUCUCCGCCUUAGCAGGAUGUGUUAACAGAGAGAGCAUCUGGCAGAAUGGCACCACGAAAUGGGAACCAGACGCUCAGUCAAGCGCCACCAAGAGCUGUUUAUCCGUGGAAUUAACCUUUUGUUCGGCAUUUGCUUUGUGGUGGGCUUGCGCUGCGCUUUUAAAUUCGCACCCUGCCCUGGGUCUCCAAGAGGCACUCAGGUUCUGCUGAAUCAGCGCUUCACACGCCUGGCAGAGGCGGUUCUGAGCAACCGGCAGCCAGGAAAACUUGCAGCAUCCUCCUUUGGCAGUCACUUUUGGCUCCCCGUAGAUUUAUGACAGCAACAGAUGGGCCCAGGUGGACUCAAGUGAGAAUCUCAGACAGGCCCAGCUCCUCUGCCCACUGGAAUUGUGUCUAGACAAGAGGGAAGGCUCAUGCGCCUCCUGGAUUUGCUUUGAAGCAACUGGAAGUGUGAAAGGAAUUUACUGCCACAGGAAGGCAUGCGGCAUGCAGGCAAGACACCAGAAUUGCUCUGGAGAAAAGGACUGAAAGCAGGAAGGAAGGAGGAAGGAAGGAGGGAGGGAAGAAAAAAAAAAAAAAGAAAUCGCCCAACAGUGAAGGCAAAUGCUAAAUCAGACACCAUUCUUCCCCUCCAUUCUGUCUCCGAGAUGGCAAUGUGCACCGUUGGCCAGAUCAUUCACCAUGAUUCAGCUCUGAGGCAUGCAACACAACCCCAUCCAGUGUCAGUCGGAAGAGGAUCAGUUGGUGCUGAGCAUAGCCCUACUGGAGGUGAUGGUUUUGAUAGGUCCACCAUUUUGCUAGGUUUACACAGAAGCCUCAGACGGAAAACAUAGCAAGGUGCCACAGCUCUGGCUGAAGAAGUAGGGGGCCAUGAGCCCAACUUCCUGAUACGUUGCUUCCACCCUUCCCCCACAGGGCCCCUACCUAAGGAGACAACCCUGAGCGGAGGGAACUGGCUGAGUCCCUUAGAGUUAGUCUGAGCACUGACAGCAGGCACAAGAGACACUUUCCCUCACACCCUAGGUGAGCUGUAUUCCUGGCUAGGCUGAGGAGAAACCCAAGGAAGCAAACUUGGGGCUGCCGUCCUCCCUGUGGCAGAGACACAUUCCCAGGCUGUAGUGGCUGCACGUGACCAAAGCUUCUUGGAACUGCCCCUGGCCCCAGAUCCAGAUAACCAGACUUCGUCUGGGUGCCAUGUGUCUGGCGUCUUAGAGAUUUCGUUUUACAUUGAAAAUAUAAACAUCACAGUAAGGGGAAAGCUGAGUUCAUUUACCCAUCUUAUGCUUUUUAAAAAGGUUUACUUGUGACUUACAGAUUUUUUUUUUUUUAGAAAAAUAGAAAAAUGCAAGAAAAACAAACUAAAUAAUGUACUGUGUGUCUUCCACGAGGUUUAUGUGUGAUGCCGGUGUUAGGCCCAUCUUCAACACAAUAAACUUGACAUUUGGGAAAGUACAUAUUAGUAGAGAGAUUGGUGAAAAGCUAAGAUAUAACUUGAGUCGAUGAAAAAAUGUGUGCAAAACAUUGUUUGGAAGAUCAGCCCAGCAACUUAAUACCAAAUGUUGGCAUCUGGAGAAAUCCUGACUUGAUGGUUUGGUAGGGAAUAUAAAGAAAACCUAAAGAGCACUUCGAGAAAAAAAAAAAAUUGAAGAAAAGAUUUGUUGCAGCGGCCCAGGGAAGCAGUCAGUCCUAGAAUUCCAAAGAGCCAGCAUUUAUCACCAAUGAAGUUGGGUAAUGUAAAGGGCAGCCUGGGCCUGGAAACAUUCCGGAAGGGUGUCUGAGGGUGAGGAGAGGGAAGGCUCUUCAGUGAACUCCGAGAAGCAGCCAGCAGUGAGGGGAAGAAGGCCAGAGAGUGCUGCCAGCAGCUGUGAUGUGGCUGUACGGCCCAGAGGAAACGGCUCUCCCAACCUGCCAUUAAAGCAGCUGUGGUCAGGCUGACGGUGACAGCUCGGUGCUGGCAUGGUGCUCAAGAUGCUGGCUGGCCCCAGCCAUUAGGAUGAGUGGGAAUAGACAGUUCUCCCAAGCCCUGGACAAGGAUACACCCUGCAAACUCACUGUAGUGGCUUAACUGUUCUGUGCCCACGUGUUGUCUUUGCUGCUCAGACUGCUGAAGCUGUGCCUUCCUUUCUAUGGCUAAAAAUCUGCUUGCAUUCCCCACCCUCCUACUUUAAGUGAAAUAUGCAGAUCUCAAAUGCUUAUUCAAGUUUGACAAAUAAAUAUGCCCAUGUGACUCAUCCCCCAGUCAGAAACA